GGCCUCUGAAGUGUCCAGGAAAGAGAGGCCAUCAGACUCCAAACAGUUAUGCAACUGGAGCCUCCUGAGGAUGACCCCUUCUGCCUGGGACCCUUAGAUCAGCCUCUAGAGAAGCUUUGACUGCUGUUUCCCCAAAACAGCACCCCCUGCCAUCAGGAAGCAGUAGAGAACCAUAAUAAUACCUACCUUGAAGUGAUGAUAUAAACUACAUGACACAGAGUACUUGCUUCACACAGUGUUGGAACACACAGAGCUGCCACCUGGAAAUCCCUGCUCAUCUAAGGGUUGCAUCUAGACUCUGGUAGAUUUGGGGAGGGUGGCAUUUGAGUUAUGUCCUUUCCUGAGCUGUCCCAUGCCACAGCUUGCUGCUCUGUUGUCUCCUGACAAUUGGUCUCCUUGCUGCUAUUUCCAGAAAGCUUCACACAGAAAGCUUCACACACUCCUCUCACUCCUCAGACCAUCUUUCACAUAAUACUGCUGUGUCUAACAGAUAUGUACACGAUGAGAGUAACAUACCGGGAACCCAGCAAUACAGCAGAAUUUCAAUACGUGACAACACUUUUCUUAAAAAUUCCCAGGUCUCACUGGUAGCAGGGAUUUGUCUCUGUUACCUUUUUCUAUGGUCUUUUUUGCCUCCAUGUUCCUAGGCUUCUUUUCAGCCAUUACCCUUUUCCUGUUUCCCCAGCUGCCUUGGAGCAAAUUUGGUUUCUUUAUUAUACAAAACAAUUUGGUCUUAAUUGAGAUUAAACUCCUGGUCUAUCUUCACACGUCUAAAAACCCUAAUGACUUUUACUCAACAAAAUAGUCAAUCCUUAAGUCAAUUCUUCAUUUCUCCCAGAAUGUGAAAGUGGAGGCAGAAAUUCUUUUCUUUUUUUAAUCUAAUUUCUCUCGUCCGUUAAACUAGCUAUUGCUGUUGUUAGUUCUGACACACUGAAACUGGAUUCUCAGAGCAGGGAACUUGAAAACAAGUCAGUAGACUGGCUGCAUUCCUCCUAAGCCAUUUCUCUACCUAUGCUUACACUUUGAGGUGAAACUAUAAACUGCUUAAUUUAAUUCAGCUUAAACGUUUGUUUCCCCAUUAUUAUUUCUCCAUUGAUUUUUGUCCAAUGGCUUGCAGUGCUUCCACAAAAGAACUUCAUAAAUUUGGUUUGAUUGAUAACUUCUAUAGGCCUCAUAGGCACCAGGGCUGGAAGAUAAAUAAACCUCAACACAGAAUGGAAGCUGUGUUUCAAAGGACAGUGGUGGUGGGGAAGAGGAGGGAGAGAUUACUUUGAAUGGUAUUGCCAAGUUUAUUUCAACAGCUUGAAAACAGCCGAUAAACACUGUAAAAAAAAAAAGAAAUUGAAGUCCUUCGUUUAGUGAGAACUGCUUGUCCAGAUAGGGUUGGGUGGCUGCCAGCUGGUGAAUCAAAUGUCAAUUGGGUUUACACCAUAGGAGACAAUCUGUUCUAGCAGUGUUUGGACUGGAAAAAGGGAAUGAAUUGGUAAAGAGCUGUUCUACAGGAUGCCAGUCUUUUAAGGAGCUGAGGAAAGCCCACAGAACACCAAAUUAUUACAGGGUCAGGACUGUGUCAUUUAUCUAUUUGCAGGCACAAGAGUAAUUAUUUUCUCAGCAUUAGGCAUAAGCUUUUCAGAAGAAUACUGCCAGGAUGAAAAAAUGCAUGAAACAGAUAUAUGUGUUGAAAACUCAGUGACAAGAUUUGUGUAAAAUUCAUUGCUUCUGGGUUUCUGGUAUGAACCUAGGGGAAUAUUGGAAAAUAACCAGUAGAUUCCUUAGCUUACUUAUUUCAGAUUACCUUUUAAGCCUUAAAGAUUCUGAUUUCUUUGUGAAUGAGACUUCCCAAUUGUAAUAACUUCAAAAAAAUAAACAUAACUUUAUAUUUUGUAAAUAUCCAAAUAAAUGCUCUUAUUUGAAAAAAGUUUUCACAAGAAAAAAUCUUAAAGUAGAAAAAUUACUCAUAACCCAUCACCCAAUAAAAUUACUUUCGGUUUUACUUUAUAAUGUAUAUCUUUCCAAGUGUGUGUGUGUGUCUGUAUAGAGAGGGAGGUGUUUGUGUGUGCAUUUUUCUGUACUUACAAAAUGAGAUCCCAUCAUACAUGUUGCUUUGAAACAUGUCUGUUUUUCUCUCACUGUAUCAUGUCAUCUUUUGAUGUUAAUAAAUACACAUGCAAGUACUUUUAUUUAAUGGCUGAAUAGAAUUCCUUGUGCAAAUAUACAGUAAUGCAAUUAAUUUCCUAUUGGCAAAUAUUUGGGUUAUUUCUAAUUUUUGCCCAUUA
RNAcentral lists this long non-coding RNA (2276 nucleotides) under Homo sapiens (human). RNAcentral's name for it is "HSALNT0339223". The record is from RNAcentral. Lineage: Eukaryota; Metazoa; Chordata; Mammalia; Primates; Hominidae.